RNAcentral lists this long non-coding RNA (645 nucleotides) under Apteryx owenii (little spotted kiwi). Its description in RNAcentral is "lncRNA (ENSAOWG00000017352.1)". The record is from RNAcentral. Lineage: Eukaryota; Metazoa; Chordata; Aves; Apterygiformes; Apterygidae.
AGACCAUCUAGACUUUUUUCCACAAAAAUGAAACCAAAUUAAAUUAGUAUGCUUUCAGAUUAACAUCCUAGUUGUGUACGGUACUUCUAACAUCUCAAAUUGCACACAGGAUGUUUUCUACGAGUGCAUGUGUAAUAUGCUGCUCUUUGGUUUCAAAUACAAUGUAUUUUCAUUAUGUUACCUUAUGAUACUGUAAAAGCUGUUCAGAGUCAUGUCAGAACUCCUUAACCCUAGAUAUCUAUGCAGUACUUUGCCUGAAUGAAAUGAGACUAGUACCUCAGUGAUGCUGUUCUCUGCCUGUGCAGUAUGCAGGGAGCAUUUUUGCUUUUCGAAACGCUUUCUCUAUGAAGAUGCUCUGCAGAAGAAAACCACCUGUGAAGCACUGUUAAAAUAGACUGAGACAUGCUGAUAAAAUUUAUCAUCAGAGGGUUAUGGACUUAAUUUCCAAGGUCAGAAAUAGUGCAUGAUAGUCUGUGCUUCCCUUGACUGGAACAGAAACUGAGAUGUGCUUUUGCCGUCUCCAGUCUGAUUAUAUCACAAGCCUGGAAUUGCCCGUAAAUGCUGCUUCUGUCUUUGGUAGGAUCAGUAAAGGUUAGUAAAGGGGAAAAUGCAUUAUGCUUAUGACAGGUAAUAGAAGAAUGAGAC